Molecule: ribosomal RNA, 253 nt
Filed under: uncultured bacterium
Lineage: Bacteria
Description: partial 16S ribosomal RNA
Rfam family: Bacterial small subunit ribosomal RNA
Source: RNAcentral
GACAGAGGGUGCAAACGUUGUUCGGAAUCACUGGGCGUAAAGCGCACGUAGGCGGCUUCUCAAGUCAGGGGUGAAAUCCUGGAGCUCAACUCCAGAACUGCCUUUGAUACUGAGGGGCUCGAGUCCGGGAGAGGUGAGUGGAACUGCGAGUGUAGAGGUGAAAUUCGUAGAUAUUCGCAAGAACACCAGUGGCGAAGGCGGCUCACUGGCCCGGUACUGACGCUGAGGUGCGAAAGCGUGGGGAGCAAACAGG